GAUGAAGAACGUAGCGAAAUGCGAUACGUAAUGUGAAUUGCAGAAUUCAGUGAAUCAUCGAAUCUUUGAACGCAUAUUGCGCUCUUUGGUAUUCCGAAGAGCAUGCUUGUUUGAGUAUCAGUAAACACCUCAAAGACUUCAAUUUGUUUUGAAUGGCUUUGGACUUGAGCAAUCCCAACACCAGUUUUUACGAUCGGUGGAGGGUUGCUUGAAAUGCAGGUGCAGCUGGACAUUCUCCUGAGCUAAAAGCAUAUUUAUUUAGUCCCGUCAAACGGAUUAUUACUUUUGCUGCAGCUAACAUAAAGGGAGUUUGACCGUAUUGGCUGACUGAUGCAGGAUUUCACAAGGGUCGGCAACGAUUCUUGUAAAACUCGAUCUCAAAUCAAGUAAGACUACCCGCUGAACUUAAGCAUAUCAAUAAGCGGAGGA
RNAcentral lists this unclassified non-coding RNA (429 nucleotides) under soil metagenome. RNAcentral's name for it is "partial contains 5.8S ribosomal RNA, internal transcribed spacer 2, and large subunit ribosomal RNA". The stretch from base 1 to 120 matches the Rfam family "5.8S ribosomal RNA", at positions 35 to 154 of the family's 154-position model. The record is from RNAcentral.